Non-coding RNA from Triticum aestivum (bread wheat), 196 nucleotides. NCBI's taxonomy places the organism in Eukaryota, Viridiplantae, Streptophyta, Magnoliopsida, Poales, Poaceae. The record is from Rfam.
AUAUCUUUCUCGGUCUUUUGGCUAAGAUCAAGUGUAGUAUCUAUUCUUAUCAUUUUAAUAUCCGAUAUGUGGGCUAUACGUCCACAAUGAUAUUAAAUUUAUUCUUUAUGGGGAGGGCCCAUCACACUAGCUUGCUAGUGGGGCCCUUACGUGUCGCCUGAGCGUCGCACUACUGCCCAGGCCAGGCGCACCCCAA